UAAUUGAAGAGUUUGAUCAUGGCUCAGAUUGAACGCUGGCGGCAGGCCUAACACAUGCAAGUCGAGCGGUAGCACAAGGAGCUUGCUCCUGGGUGACGAGCGGCGGACGGGU
This 112-nucleotide ribosomal RNA is filed under the name Serratia fonticola. Its description in RNAcentral is "partial 16S ribosomal RNA". It matches the Rfam family "Bacterial small subunit ribosomal RNA", at positions 1 to 107 of the family's 1533-position model. Lineage: Bacteria; Pseudomonadati; Pseudomonadota; Gammaproteobacteria; Enterobacterales; Yersiniaceae. The record is from RNAcentral.